GUGCUCGCGUGGGCAGCACAUAUACUCAAAUUAGAACCACACAGAGUAGCAUGGCCCCCGUGCCAGGAGGACAUGCAAAUUGGUGAAGCCACCCAUAUGUUC
RNAcentral lists this small nuclear RNA (102 nucleotides) under Myotis davidii. The record is from RNAcentral. Lineage: Eukaryota; Metazoa; Chordata; Mammalia; Chiroptera; Vespertilionidae.